GGGGUUGUGGCUCAGCAGUAGAGCGCUUGCCUGCCAAGAGCAAGCUGCUGGGUUUGAUCCUCAGCACCA
Molecule: transfer RNA, 69 nt
Filed under: Ictidomys tridecemlineatus (thirteen-lined ground squirrel)
Lineage: Eukaryota; Metazoa; Chordata; Mammalia; Rodentia; Sciuridae
Description: Spermophilus tridecemlineatus (thirteen-lined ground squirrel) tRNA
Rfam family: tRNA
About the family: Transfer RNA (tRNA) molecules are approximately 80 nucleotides in length. Their secondary structure includes four short double-helical elements and three loops (D, anti-codon, and T loops).
Source: Rfam by way of RNAcentral